UGCCUCCACUCCGGGGGACACCAACUGCGGAGAAUGUCCGAGCUUUGGUGGUCUUGUGAGCUGUUGCCUUGGUUUCUCCCGCCUCUCUGUUUAUGUGCGAAAUAGGAUAAUCUACCCCUUCCGUAACUCUUUGUUCAUGUUGGAAGAAAACCUUCAUGGCAGAUGGUGUCUCCCUCCCCCAACUUCCACAUCUUGAGAGCUAUGCCGUAUCUCACUUCUAAGCCUAGACCUCAUCCGGCCCUGAUACACUUGCCUUUUCUUCCCCUGUGUGCCGGGGUGCGAGUACCCCCCCCCCACACUUCUAUCCCCUGGAGUGGAGGGCUUGAUCAAGGGCUUUCUCACCCUUGUUAUGUGUUAAGUUAAUGUUUGUUUUAUGUUUUAUGUUUGUUAUAAUAGAAAAAUGCUGGACUCUGUAGCAAUGUGGAACCAAUCUUGCUGUUAGCAGCAUUUGCUUCUCAAUUUGUGCUUAACUAAUAGUGACUCUGUAUAUACUGUUCUCAUGUUGUGGUGGAGCCAGUAACUAUAUAAAUAAAGUUAUUAAAAAAAAAAAAAAAAGCGGACACAAAGAUAAUUAAGCUAGUUCGUAUUAAAUUUAGUAAUGUACUGCACAUUUCACACGUUAUUCAUAUUUGUAUGAUAUGAUUUUUUUUUAGUGAACAUUUUUCUGCAGAUUAUUCUUAAAUAAAAUUCAAUUUUAAAUUAGGCAGUUACACUAAAGCACCAGUUCCGUUGCAAUGUGUUGAUUAACUGGAGAAUAAAGCAAUUUUUGAAAGUUUUAUAAUAUAUUGCUGCAGUUGAAAAUUGGAUUGCAAAUUAGCUGCUGAUAAAGAAAGAAAUUGUAAAA
This is a long non-coding RNA of Bombina bombina (fire-bellied toad), 844 nucleotides long. RefSeq lists it as uncharacterized. The record is from RefSeq and is a predicted model, not a curated record. NCBI's taxonomy places the organism in Eukaryota, Metazoa, Chordata, Amphibia, Anura, Bombinatoridae. The transcript is spliced from 2 exons.